AUUGAACGCUGGCGGAAUGCUUUACACAUGCAAGUCGAACGGCAGCACGGGGGCAACCCUGUUGGCGAGUGGCGAACGGGUGAGUAAUACAUCGGAACUUGCUCGGCCGUGGGGGAUAACGUAUCGACAUUUACGCUAAUACCGCAAACGAUCUUAGGAUCAAAGCGGGGGACCUUCGGGCCUUGCGCCAUCGGACACACCGCUGUCAGAUUAGGUAGUUGGCGGGGUCAAGGCCUACCAAGCCGACGAACUGUAGCUGGUCUGAGAGGAUGACCAGCCACACUGGGACUGAGACACGGCCCAGACACCUACGGGAGGCAGCAGUGGGGAAUUUUGGACAAUGGGCGCAAGCCUGAUCCAGCCAUACCGCGUGCAGGACGAAGGCCUUCGGGUUGUAAAAUGCUUUUGUAUGGAACGAAAAGGAUCUGGCUAAUACCUGGGGCUCAUGACGGUACCGUAAGAAUAAGCACCGGCUAACUACGUG
This 484-nucleotide ribosomal RNA is filed under the name uncultured bacterium. Its description in RNAcentral is "partial 16S ribosomal RNA". It matches the Rfam family "Bacterial small subunit ribosomal RNA", at positions 30 to 507 of the family's 1533-position model. The record is from RNAcentral.